GAUGAACGCUGGCGGCGUGCUUAACACAUGCAAGUCGAACGAAGACAUCUGAGUGCUUGCACUUGGAUGGACUGAGUGGCGGACGGGUGAGUAACGCGUGGGUAACCUGCCUUAUACAGGGGGAUAACAGUUGGAAACGACUGCUAAUACCGCAUAAGCGCACGGUAUCGCAUGAUACAGUGUGAAAAACUCCGGUGGUAUAAGAUGGACCCGCGUCUGAUUAGCUUGUUGGUGAGGUAACGGCCCACCAAGGCGACGAUCAGUAGCCGGCCUGAGAGGGUGAACGGCCACAUUGGGACUGAGACACGGCCCAAACUCCUACGGGAGGCAGCAGUGGGGAAUAUUGCACAAUGGGGGAAACCCUGAUGCAGCGACGCCGCGUGAGUGAUGAAGUAUUUCGGUAUGUAAAACUCUAUCAGCAGGGAAGAUAAUGACGGUACCUGACUAAGAAGCACCGGCUAAAUACGUGCCAGCAGCCGACGG
This 483-nucleotide ribosomal RNA is filed under the name uncultured bacterium. Its description in RNAcentral is "bacterial SSU rRNA". It matches the Rfam family "Bacterial small subunit ribosomal RNA", at positions 28 to 520 of the family's 1533-position model. The record is from RNAcentral.